Molecule: ribosomal RNA, 504 nt
Filed under: Aleuropteryx juniperi
Lineage: Eukaryota; Metazoa; Arthropoda; Insecta; Neuroptera; Coniopterygidae
Description: partial 16S ribosomal RNA
Source: RNAcentral
UUUUUGAGAAAAAUUUAAAGUCUAAUCUGCCCACUGAAAAAUUUUAAAGGGCCGCAGUAUUUUGACUGUGCUAAGGUAGCAUAAUCAUUUGUUUUUUAAUUGAAAACUAGUAUGAAUGAUUGGAUGAAUUAUAAGUUGUCUCUUAUUAAUAAAUUUAAAAAAUUUAGUUUUUAGUUAAAAUGCUAAAAUAAUUUUAAAAGACGAGAAGACCCUGUAGAUUUUUAUUUAUAUUAUAUAUAUUAAUUUUUAUAAAAUAUUUAAUUAUUAGUAUGAAUUUAAUUGGGGUGAUUAAAAAAUUUAAUAAACUUUUUUUUUAUUUUUGUUAUUUAUAAAUAAUUAUGUUUGAUCCAUUAUUAGUGAAAAAAGAUUAAAUUACCUUAGGGAUAACAGCGUUAUUAUUUUUGAAAGUACAUAUUGAUAAAAUAGAUUGCGACCUCGAUGUUGAAUUAAAAUAUCUUUAAAAGCAGAAAUUUAAAGUAUUAGUCUGUUCGACUAUUGAUUUUU